AGCUCAUCCAGAGGGGGCGAGGGAUUCGGCCCAGUGACCCCCCGGCAACCAGCUGACAACUCAGCACCGGUGCCAACUCCGACUCGGUACGAAAGCCGGCCGAGAGAGAUGAAGG
Molecule: non-coding RNA, 115 nt
Filed under: Microlunatus soli
Lineage: Bacteria; Bacillati; Actinomycetota; Actinomycetes; Propionibacteriales; Propionibacteriaceae
Description: SAM-I sequence
Rfam family: SAM riboswitch aptamer (S box leader)
About the family: The SAM riboswitch is found upstream of a number of genes which code for proteins involved in methionine or cysteine biosynthesis in Gram-positive bacteria. The SAM riboswitch acts at the level of transcription termination control. The predicted structure consists of a complex stem-loop region followed by a single stem loop terminator region.
Source: Rfam by way of RNAcentral